RNAcentral lists this ribosomal RNA (468 nucleotides) under uncultured bacterium. RNAcentral's name for it is "partial 16S ribosomal RNA". It matches the Rfam family "Bacterial small subunit ribosomal RNA", at positions 28 to 507 of the family's 1533-position model. The record is from RNAcentral.
GACGAACGCUGGCGGCGUGCUUAACACAUGCAAGUCGAACGGAAAGGCCCUGCUUUUGUGGGGUGCUCGAUUGGCGAACGGGUGAGUAACACGUGAGUAACCUGCCCUUGACUUUGGGAUAACUUCAGGAAACUGGGGCUAAUACCGGAUAGGAUCUCCUGCUGCACGGUGGGGGUUGGAAAGUUUCGGCGGUUGGGGAUGGACUCGCGGCUUAUCAGCUUGUUGGUGGGGUAGUGGCUUACCAAGGCUUUGACGGGUAGCCGGCCUGAGAGGGUGACCGGCCACAUUGGGACUGAGAUACGGCCCAGACUCCUACGGGAGGCAGCAGUGGGGAAUAUUGCACAAUGGGCGGAAGCCUGAUGCAGCAACGCCGCGUGCGGGAUGACGGCCUUCGGGUUGUAAACCGCUUUCGCCUGUGACGAAGCGUGAGUGACGGUAAUGGGUAAAGAAGCACCGGCUAACUACGUG